Molecule: long non-coding RNA, 686 nt
Filed under: Pongo abelii (Sumatran orangutan)
Lineage: Eukaryota; Metazoa; Chordata; Mammalia; Primates; Hominidae
Description: lincRNA
Source: RNAcentral
CAGACAGGGUCUCACUUUGUCACCCAGGCAGGAGUGCAGCGGCUCAAUCUUGGGCUCACUGCAGUCUCAACCUCCCAGAGGCGGGGUUUCACCAUGUUGCCCAGACUGGUCUUGAACUCCUGAGCUUAAGCAAUCCACCUGCCUCGGCCUCCCAAAGUAUUGGGAUUACAGGUGUGAGCCACCGCAUCCGGCCUCAUGUUCUUUUUCAUUAAAGAGAGAAAUCAACUAUUCAGGACCGGCCCCCACCUUUCCUCAGGAGUCAUUUCUGUUCUGCACAGGCCUGCUGAACUGGGUGCUUUAUAUAGGGCACUGUCAUCUCUCAAGUACCCAUCGUGGAGGGUACGGACCCCACAUGAGGAUUUCAGUGGAGUGAAGUUCAGGAGGCAUGGAGCUGACGACCACGAGGCCUCGGCAGCCACCGCCGCUGCCGCCACCACCACCGCCGCCGCCGCCGCCGCCGCAGCAGCAAGAGUAACUCUGACUUAGGAAUAGAGACAGCCGGAGAGAAAUGUGAUCAAUGAAGGAGACAUGUGGAGUGUGCGUGCUUCUUCAGAGGGACUGGUGAUGGGCAGACUGGAAAAAGCACUGCAGAUGGGAACAUUAAUCUUUCUUUUCUAAAAUUGAUGCUAUGAAAAUUUGCGUUUUCUGUAACUUGUAAAAACUAAAAGUUGCUUGUCUACUGAAAA